AGAACGAACGCUGGCGGCAGGCUUAACACAUGCAAGUCGAACGGUUGUAGCAAUACAGCAGUGGCAGACGGGUGAGUAACACGUGGGAACCUUCCUAGGGGUACGGAACAACUCAGGGAAACUUGAGCUAAUACCGUAUACGUCCGUGAGGAGAAAGAUUUAUCGCCCCUAGACGGGCCCGCGUAGGAUUAGGUAGUUGGUGAGGUAACGGCUCACCAAGCCUACGAUCCUUAGCUGAUCUGAGAGGAUGAUCAGCCACACUGGGACUGAGACACGGCCCAGACUCCUACGGGAGGCAGCAGUGGGGAAUCUUGGACAAUGGGCGCAAGCCUGAUCCAGCCAUGCCGCGUGAGUGAAGAAGGCCUUCGGGUUGUAAAGCUCUUUUACCAGGGACGAUAAUGACGGUACCUGGAGAAUAAGCCCCGGCAAACUUCGUAGCCAGCAGCCGC
Molecule: ribosomal RNA, 449 nt
Filed under: uncultured soil bacterium
Lineage: Bacteria
Description: bacterial SSU rRNA
Rfam family: Bacterial small subunit ribosomal RNA
Source: RNAcentral